This 71-nucleotide transfer RNA is filed under the name Hemicentrotus pulcherrimus. RNAcentral describes it as "tRNA-Ala". Lineage: Eukaryota; Metazoa; Echinodermata; Echinoidea; Camarodonta; Strongylocentrotidae. The record is from RNAcentral.
UGUAGCUUCUGAGACUUUAACUCAGAACUUUUGCUUGCAAAGCAAACGUUUUUCUAUUAAACUAAAACCAC